This 18-nucleotide ribosomal RNA is filed under the name Uromyces pisi-sativi. Its description in RNAcentral is "partial 18S ribosomal RNA". The record is from RNAcentral. Lineage: Eukaryota; Fungi; Basidiomycota; Pucciniomycetes; Pucciniales; Pucciniaceae.
CCUGCAGAAAGAUCAUUA